This 497-nucleotide ribosomal RNA is filed under the name uncultured bacterium. RNAcentral's name for it is "partial 16S ribosomal RNA". It matches the Rfam family "Bacterial small subunit ribosomal RNA", at positions 28 to 507 of the family's 1533-position model. The record is from RNAcentral.
GAUGAACGCUGGCGGCGUGCCUAAUACAUGCAAGUCGAGCGAACGGACGAGAAGCUUGCUUUUCUGAUGUUAGCGGCGGACGGGUGAGUAACACGUGGAUAACCUACCUAUAAGACUGGGAUAACUUCGGGAAACCGGAGCUAAUACCGGAUAAUAUUUUGAACCGCAUGGUUCAAAAGUGAAAGACGGUCUUGCUGUCACUUAUAGAUGGAUCCGCGCUGCAUUAGCUAGUUCGUAAGGUAACGGCUUACCAAGGCAACGAUGCAUAGCCGACCUGAGAGGGUGAUCGGCCACACUGGAACUGAGACACGGUCCAGACUCCUACGGGAGGCAGCAGUAGGGAAUCUUCCGCAAUGGGCGAAAGCCUGACGGAGCAACGCCGCGUGAGUGAUGAAGGUCUUCGGAUCGUAAAACUCUGUUAUUAGGGAAGAACAUAUGUGUAAGUAACUGUGCACAUCUUGACGGUACCUAAUCAGAAAGCCACGGCUAACUACGUG